This 255-nucleotide ribosomal RNA is filed under the name uncultured bacterium. Its description in RNAcentral is "partial 16S ribosomal RNA". The record is from RNAcentral.
ACCCAUCUGUAGUUUUUUCGCCGAAGCCAUCUUUCAACCAAGGACCAUGAGGUCCUCGGUGUUAUCCGGUAUUAGCUCCGGUUUCCCGAAGUUAUCCCAGUCUUACAGGCAGGUUGCCCACGUGUUACUCACCCGUCCGCCGCUAACUUCAGGGAGCAAGCUCCCAUCCGUCCGCUCGACUUGCAUGUAUUAGGCACGCCGCCAGCGUUCGUCCUGAGCCAGGAUCAAACUCUAAUCUAGAUGCAUCGCAGUCGC